UCGUUAGCUCCCCUCAAGCCACCUGCAAGCUGCUCGGUCCACUCGUAGCUUCAUGUCGGCGGAUCCCCGUCGAUUCACUCGACACAAACCAUGGCUGGCUGUGCAGUUCAUUGAACUAACAGACCGUCUCACAGCUCUGUUGUCAAGUUCUUCCGUUUUCCUCUAGGUGAUCCUGAGAGGCUAGACCUGUGGGUGAUCAACAUGAAGAGACAGAACUGGAUUCUGAGCCUCUGCAGUCAACACUUGAGAGACAACACUUGAGCAAUGACAAAAGGGUGACUCAGACAGCCUGCACCAGUGGAUGUCCAACAUGAGGAGACAGAACAGGACUCCAACAAGACUGAACACUAAGUUUCAUCACCUAUGCACUGACUCCAGGAGCAGACCUGUUUUCAUACCUUACAAACAAUCAAAG
Molecule: long non-coding RNA, 415 nt
Organism: Platichthys flesus (European flounder)
Lineage: Eukaryota; Metazoa; Chordata; Actinopteri; Pleuronectiformes; Pleuronectidae
Exons: 3
Source: RefSeq, a predicted model, not a curated record